This 201-nucleotide unclassified non-coding RNA is filed under the name Hevea brasiliensis (rubber tree). Lineage: Eukaryota; Viridiplantae; Streptophyta; Magnoliopsida; Malpighiales; Euphorbiaceae. The record is from RNAcentral.
UAGGAGGAUAUUUGUUUGUGUUUAAUAUAAUUAUUUGCUUUGUUUGUAUGAGCAAAAUAGACAAGAAAGCAAAAAAUAUAUAUAUAUUCAGUAUUUAUUUGUUCCUUGUUUGCUUGCAUUUUCAGAUUUUCUUUGACCCCUCUUCUUCAUUCUUUUGUACUUUGUAUAAAAGCACCUCUUUUCAGUUUUUCUCUGCUAAAA